Molecule: unclassified non-coding RNA, 278 nt
Filed under: Hevea brasiliensis (rubber tree)
Lineage: Eukaryota; Viridiplantae; Streptophyta; Magnoliopsida; Malpighiales; Euphorbiaceae
Source: RNAcentral
UUCUUUUCGAGAUAGUCUUUCCUCUGAUGUGUUUCAAUGACAAUGAUCAAAAGCUUUGGGAUGAAGACCCUCAUGAAUAUGUUAGGAAAGGUUAUGAUAUUAUUGAGGAUUUGUACAGUCCGAGGACUGCUUCGAUGGAUUUUGUCAGUGAAUUGGUUAGAAAACGUGGGAAGGAGAACCUUCAAAAGUUUAUUCAAUUCAUUGUAGAAAUUUUUAAGAGGUAUGAUGAAGCACCAGUAGAAUAUAAACCCUAUCGACAAAAAGAUGGUGCUCUACUC